Molecule: long non-coding RNA, 1133 nt
Organism: Nicotiana tabacum (common tobacco)
Lineage: Eukaryota; Viridiplantae; Streptophyta; Magnoliopsida; Solanales; Solanaceae
Source: RefSeq, a predicted model, not a curated record
UGAGUAAUUAAAUUGAUCAAUCAUCAUUGGCUUGCCUGACGGCGACGUUAGGCGCCAUCAUGACCUAUAAAAGAUUUUGGGUCGUGACACUACUGCUCUCCCUCACCUCCAUGGCCUAACUGCUCUCUCUUGGCAGAUCUGUCGCCUCUAGUGAGCAGGUUCAAGAAGCCAUCCUCGCCGGAACGACCUCUGAUCUACCAUAUUUGGCCGUUAAUGAUGGUCUCUGGAAACGAGCUUCGAGCUCUGUUACUGGAUCAUUUUGUUGUUGCUCACCCACCAGAUUUAUUUUAGAUCCGGUUGAAAACUGUUUUCCGGCGAUCUGCCCAGAAAACGUUAAGAUCGGCGAUGACUAUCUCCUUCUCUCUCUCUCUAAUUUUUUGUUUUUGUUUAUACGUAAAUAAUUUAAGGUUUGGACUUGAAAAUCUCUAACAAGAUCUUACCUGAAAUUAGAAUUUUGGCAACUUUUAUAUAUAUAUAUAUAUAUAUUCUUAGUCGUUACUACUUAUUUGAGGCGUCACUUGGUGCCUAUUCAUGAUCUUUUGUGUCAUUCCUACUGCUGCUAUUCUUGAAGCUUCUACAAUCUUUGAAGGUUUGGAAUAACUGUUUGUGACUGAAGAUUUCCCUGCUGCCUGUUGCGAUCUGUUGAGACCGUUGCUCAUUUGCUGACUUUUGUAUUUUUUGCUGCUAUCUCUCUUGGUCCACAAAUCUCGUCCCUAUCGAUUGUUUAAUCAGUGUUAACAAUUUGUGAUGAAGUUUGAUGCUUUUGGAUGGAUUAUUAGUGUUACUGUCAUUUUGUUCCCGUUGGAUUGUAUUUUUACCCAUUUGACAGUGUGCGUCAUAAUUGGUAGGCACCGCUACUGUUCUUCCGGCGAAGAUCAUCAUUGGUGCCGUUAAUUUGGUGGCUGUUAUUAUUGUUCAUAAUAGGCCGAUGAGAAUAAUAUUUUGAGGCCACAAAGCCCCGAAUGACUCUCCGGAUUGGGCCCUAAUAACGAGGCGAUGAUGAUAAACAUCAGAAAAUAAAAGACGAGGAUGCGAUGAACCAACAACCUUGUGUUACGACCCAAAAUCUAUCUAGUCGUGAUGACACUUAACUCAACCCGUCAGGUUACCACGAACAAGAGGCAGCUACAACC